RNAcentral lists this ribosomal RNA (328 nucleotides) under uncultured eukaryote. Its description in RNAcentral is "partial 18S ribosomal RNA". It matches the Rfam family "Eukaryotic small subunit ribosomal RNA", at positions 1470 to 1796 of the family's 1831-position model. The record is from RNAcentral.
CCCUUAGAUGUCCGGGGCUGCACGCGCGCUACACUGAAGGAAUCAGCGUGCUAAAACCAUUGUCGAAAGGCAUUGGUAAACCCAUUAAAAUCCUAAGUGAUUGGGAUCGGGAAUUGCAAUUAUUUCCCUUGAACGAGGAAUUCCCAGUAAGUGUGGGUCAUAAGCUCGCGUUGAUUACGUCCCUGCCCUUUGUACACACCGCCCGUCGCUGCCCGGGACUGAGCCGUUUCGAGAAAAGCGGGGACUGCUGCUGUCGGGGCUUUCGGGCCUUGGCUUCGGUGGAAACCGCUUUAAUCGCAGUGGCUUGAACCGGGCAAAAGUCGUAACA